AUGGCGUUGCGGCAUCCUCGCCAUUCGGUAUACGCGCAGCUGCGGCUCCUUGCCUUGGCAAGGGUUGCUGUAUUGGGCACACAAAAAACAAGGAUGACGCAUGGCACAUUUCAGGUUCGACUUGUAGAUAGGACACACAUCAUGGUUAGCUCUUUGGUCAUCAACUGGUCCAUGACCAAGAAUAUAUUAAAACAAACACAACCGUAUAUAACUUCUUGUGCAUCAGGGAGGCAUGCUGUGGAAGCAAAAGGUUGCAGGUUUAUGCUAAGUGAGGGAGAUAUGGUGAAAGCAGCGAAAGGGAAAGACUACAGAUUGCUGGAUUGGGAGUUUGGGACUUUGCCUGCAAAAUGA
Molecule: ribosomal RNA, 351 nt
Filed under: Triticum aestivum (bread wheat)
Lineage: Eukaryota; Viridiplantae; Streptophyta; Magnoliopsida; Poales; Poaceae
Description: partial small subunit ribosomal RNA
Source: RNAcentral